ACACCGCCACUUAAUACACCGCCA
This 24-nucleotide non-coding RNA is filed under the name Arabidopsis thaliana (thale cress). The record is from RNAcentral. Lineage: Eukaryota; Viridiplantae; Streptophyta; Magnoliopsida; Brassicales; Brassicaceae.